This is a long non-coding RNA of Oncorhynchus nerka (sockeye salmon), 3887 nucleotides long. RefSeq lists it as uncharacterized. Lineage: Eukaryota; Metazoa; Chordata; Actinopteri; Salmoniformes; Salmonidae. The transcript is spliced from 2 exons. The record is from RefSeq and is a predicted model, not a curated record.
GAAUCGGGAGGGGAAUUUUCAGUUUUUAAGCAAAUAUCGUAGUUUGACAUGGCUAAUGCUGUCCUCUUAUGCUCAAACAUUAUAACAAAAUCAAUGGGGGCCUGACUGUCUACAUAUCUUUUCUACAACAGCGCUAUUGCGCAAAAUAAUAUGCAGCAUCAUCUGGAUAUGUAUGUAACAAAAGUUCAACAUUCAACUUCUGCUUUCAUUUCUGUCAAGCCGUCUACGCAUACAAUUUGACGCAUAAAUUCGAUAAAUUCAAGUAUCCAAUUGUUAGUAGUUACUGUCUUGUCUCAUCGCUACAUCUCCCGUACGGGCUCGGGAGAGACGAAGGUCGAGAGUCAUGUGUCCUCCGAAACACAACCCAACCAAGCCGCACUGCUUCUUAACACAGCGAUGAGACAAGGAUAUCCCUAUCGGCCUAACCCGGACGACGCUAGGCCAAUUGUGCGUCACCCCAUGGAUCUCCUGGUCGCGGCCGUCUGCGACAGAGCCUGGGCUCGAACCCAGAGUCUUAGACCACUGCGUCACCCGGGAGGCAAAAAAUAAUAAUAAUAUAUAUAUAUACUUUAAGGAAAAUGUUUGCAAUUAUUUGUUUCAUUUUUAUGUUUAGCUCACAUAUAUACUGAAUAAAAAUAUAAACGCAACAUGCAACAAUUUAAUGGAAUUGUUGCAUGUUGCGUUUAAGGAAAUCAGUCAAUAAAUAAAUUAGGCCCUAAUCUAUGGACUUCACGACUGAGAAUAGACAUCUGUUGGUCACAGAUACAGUUGAAGUCGGAAGUUUACAUACACUUAGGUUGGAGUCAUUAAAACUUGCUUUUCAACCACUCCACAAAUUUCUUGUUAACAAACUAUAGUUUUGGAAAAUCGCUGGCUAAAAUCCCGUGGCUUCCACUCAAACUCAAAUCAAUCUAAUUAUGACAAAAGUCUUCCUACUAAUUAUUUGCCUCCUUUUGCAUUCUAUUUCCAAGCCACUGUAAUGCACUUUUAAUGAAAUCAGUGCUCAUUGACAUUGCAUUGUGUCACGCCUGCUCCCGCUCCUCUCUGGCGUUCGAGGGCACCUGGCUGCCCAUCAUUUUUUUUUUUUUUUUUUUUUUAAUUUUUUUUUAUUAAACAACAAAUCAAUACAUAAAGCACAUGAGGGAACACAAGCAUACAUAGAUUACAAACAAUGGACAAUCGAGCUAGGGGGUACAAUUUCACAUUACAAUUACACAAGGACCUUAAGGGACAUGCAUAUACUUACAAUUCUAACAGCUUUUUUGUUAGUAGAGCAUUUAACCGUCUUAAAAUACAGUUCAAUUUCUUUUUGUAGGAUACGAAAAUGUGGUUUUCUGUUUGUAAAUUUACAUUUGUGUAUAUGAAAUUUGGCCAAAAGAAUAAUGAAAUUAAUUACAUAAAAAUGAUUCCGCUUAUUUCUAUUGUAUGUAAAGAAUCCAAACAGUACAUCUCUCCACAAUAGUGUAAAAUCUUCAUAAAUGUGUUCAAUUAUAAACCUACUGAUGUCUUGCCACAGUUUUCUUACAUGCAUACAAUGCCAAAAAAGAUGCACAACUGUUUCUGGGUGGUCAUUACAAAAGGAGCAAUUUGAGUUGAUGUUUUCCUUAAACUUCUUCAUAUAGUGGUUGGCAGGAUAGUAUUUAUGAAUAAUUUUAAAGGAAACUUCCUUAAUUUUGUUAACAAGUAGGUAUGUUUGUGGCAACAUCCAAACUUUUUUCCAACAGAUAUUAUCAAUAAAUCCAUUCCAGUAAGGCAUGACAUAAGGUAUAGAUACAACAUCCUGCUGAAACAAGGAUCGUAUCGCUCUGUUGUUGAAUGGACCAAAAGAGAAACAAAUCUUUCCUACUGAUGAGUCAACAGGGUCAAUAGAAGGUAGGCUCUGAGGGUCAGGUCUUGACAUGUUCCUGAAUAACAUAGCAACACCUGAGGGAAUGGCAUCUAAAACAAUUGCAAAAUCUUUAGGUGUUACAGGGACCUUGUAAAGUGAUAAGAAUUCUUUAUAACUGAGUAAAAGACCCUCUGCAUUUACCAGUUGGCUCACCAAUAGGAUAUUAUUUCUGAACCAAUAUUCUAAAAACAGAGGUAUUUUUAUACAAUAUAUCCCGAUUAUUCCAUAUAUAAUAUCUGUGUGGAGAAAAAUUGUGUUUAUAAAUUAAGGACCAUGACAAGAAAACCUGCCGAUGAAAAGCAGAAAGUUUCACUGGAACUUUGUCAAUAUUAUAAUUGCAAAACAACAUGAAGUUAAGGCCACCAAAAGUAGAGAAGACAUGAUGAGGAAUACAAUUCCAGAUAGAAGUGGGUCUUCUUAGGAAUUGUUUUAUCCAAUUGAUCUUGAAAGUAUUAUUUAAAGUAGUAAAAUCCAGAAAAUUCAGUCCACCAUUCUCAUAAGUGUUCAUUACAACAGUUUUCCUAAUGUAAUGGGUACGGUUUCUCCAAAGAAAGUUGAAAAGCAUCUGGUCUAUCUCCUUGCUUAUUUUACGGUCAAGAUAUAAAGAUAGAGCACCAUAUGUUAGUCUAGAGAUACCUUCAGCCUUGGUUAUUAGGACUCUACCUUUUAAAGAUAAGUCCCUCUGUAGCCAUUGAUUUAGUUUCUUCUGGGUUUUUUUAAUAAGAGGGUUAAAAUUUAGUAAGCCUCUAGACUUCUGAUCCUUUGUAAUGGUUAUGCCUAAAUAUGUAAGUUCUUCUUUUACUGGAAUACCAUAAUAUGAAGGUGUCACACAAUCUUUGACAGCCAUGAGUUCACAUUUCUUAAUGUUAAGAUAUAGACCAGACGCUUUGGAAAAGGAUUGUAAUCACAUUGAUCGAUAUGGGAAUUUGGUUAGCAUCUUUCAGAAAAAGUGUAGUAUCGUCAGCCAGCUGGCUUAUAAUAAUUUCUUUACCAGCUAUGGAAAUACCUUGUACAGGACUAUUAUUUAAAGAAUUUGCAAGAAGUUGGGUGAUUAAUAAAAACAGGUACGGAGAGAUAGGACAACCUUGCCUAAUUCCUCUCUUUAACUCAAAUCUAGGUGAGGUGCCAUAUUUCAAUUUGAUAGAGCUGUUACCAUUUGCAUAGAGAGUCUUAAUAGCCUUACAGAAAAAAUCCCCAAAGCCAAGUCUCUCAAGGGAGUGGAAGAGAAACUGAUGCUCUACUGUGUCAAAUGCUUUAUAAAAAUCUAAAAAUAAUAUGAAGCUAUCCUCAGUUAUUAGGUCUGAGUAGUCAAGUACGUCUAAUACUAGUCUGACAUUGUUAGAAAUAUGUCUGUUCCUCAUGAAGCCAGACUGUGUUUCAUCAAUGAUUGCAUCCAAAACUUCUUUAAUUCUUUUUGCAAGUAGUGAGGCUAAUAUCUUAUAGUCAUUAUUAAGAAGACAAAUUGGACGCCAGUUAUCGAUGAGCAGCACUUCUUUUUAGGCUUAGGUAUCAGUGUUAUUAACCCCUGACUCAUUGUAGGAGGGAGAACAUUGUUUUUAAUACUCUCUAAAAAGACUUGGAAUAGGAAGGGAGCUACUUGUUCAGAAAAUAAUUUGUAAAAUUCUGAUGUAAUUCCAUCAACACCUGGUGAUUUAUUGUUCUUUAGAUGUUUGAUAGACUCUAUAAUCUCUUCAACUUUGAUGGGUUCAUCACACUGUUUAGAUUCUAUAUCACUGAUAGAGUGAACAUUAUUCAGUGAGUUAAAAAACAUAUCUGUGGAUUCCUGACAGUACGUAGAGCUAUACAAUUUUCUGUAAAAAUUGCUGCAGUAUUUAGCGAUUAAUUUUUGGUCAUCUGUAAUAACACCAUCAAUGUUUAACUUAUGGAUAGUGUUAUUUUUAGAGUGAAAUUUCUCAAGUCUAAAGAAAUAGGAUGAAUUCUGUUCUCCCUCCUCAAUCCAUUUUUUCCUAGAUCUAAUAAAGGCUCCUUCUGCUUUUAA